GCUGUGGUGGUUUAGUGGUAGAAUUCUCGCCUUCCACGUGGGAGGCCCGGGUUGGAUCCCUGACCGAUGUA
Molecule: transfer RNA, 71 nt
Filed under: Loxodonta africana (African savanna elephant)
Lineage: Eukaryota; Metazoa; Chordata; Mammalia; Proboscidea; Elephantidae
Rfam family: tRNA
About the family: Transfer RNA (tRNA) molecules are approximately 80 nucleotides in length. Their secondary structure includes four short double-helical elements and three loops (D, anti-codon, and T loops).
Source: Rfam by way of RNAcentral